RNAcentral lists this ribosomal RNA (465 nucleotides) under uncultured Klebsiella sp. RNAcentral describes it as "bacterial SSU rRNA". It matches the Rfam family "Bacterial small subunit ribosomal RNA", at positions 338 to 795 of the family's 1533-position model. The record is from RNAcentral. Lineage: Bacteria; Pseudomonadati; Pseudomonadota; Gammaproteobacteria; Enterobacterales; Enterobacteriaceae.
CCUACGGGCGGCUGCAGUGGGGAAUAUUGCACAAUGGGCGCAAGCCUGAUGCAGCCAUGCCGCGUGUGUGCAGAAGGCCUUCGGGUUGUAAAGCACUUUCAGCGGGGAGGAAGGCGGUGAGGUUAAUAACCUCAUCGAUUGACGUUACCCGCAGAAGAAGCACCGGCUAACUCCGUGCCAGCAGCCGCGGUAAUAUGGAGGGUGCAAGCGUUAAUCGGAAUUACUGGGCGUAAAGCGCACGCAGGCGGUCUGUCAAGUCGGAUGUGAAAUCCCCGGGCUCAACCUGGGAACUGCAUUCGAAACUGGCAGGCUAGAGUCUUGUAGAGGGGGGUAGAAUUCCAGGUGUAGCGGUGAAAUGCGUAGAGAUCUGGAGGAAUACCGGUGGCGAAGGCGGCCCCCUGGACAAAGACUGACGCUCAGGUGCGAAAGCGUGGGGAGCGAACAGGAUUAGAUACCCCGGUAGUC